GGGCAGCAGCAAGGAAUAUUGUGCAAUGGGCGAAAGCCUGACACAGCGACGCCGCGUGGGGGAUGAAGGCCUUCGGGUUGUAAACCCCUUUUCUCAGGGAAGAAUAAUGACGGUACCUGAGGAAUAAGUCUUGGCUAACUACGUGCCAGCAGCCGCGGUAAUACGUAGAAGGCAAGCGUUAUCCGGAUUUAUUGGGCGUAAAGCGGGCGUAGGCGGCUUUUCAAGUCGGACGUAAAAUUUCCCGGCUCAACUGGGAGGGAUCGUUCGAUACUGUUGGGCUAGAGUGCAGCAGAGGGAGGUGGAAUUCCCGGUGUAGUGGUGAAAUGCGUAGAUAUCGGGAGGAACACCAGUGGCGAAGGCGGCCUCCUAGGCUGUUACUGACGCUGAGGCCCGAAGGCGUGGGGAGCGAACAGGAUUAGAUACCCGUGUAGUC
Molecule: ribosomal RNA, 433 nt
Filed under: uncultured Dehalococcoidia bacterium
Lineage: Bacteria; Bacillati; Chloroflexota; Dehalococcoidia
Description: bacterial SSU rRNA
Rfam family: Bacterial small subunit ribosomal RNA
Source: RNAcentral